AACGAACGCUGGCGGCAGGCCUAACACAUGCAAGUCGAACGCUGUAGCAAUACAGAGUGGCAGACGGGUGAGUAGCGCGUGGGAACCUUCCCAAUGGUACGGAAUAGCUCAGGGAAACUUGAGGUAAUACCGUAUAAGCCCCUAGGGGGAAAGAUUUAUCGCCAUUGGAUGGGCCCGCGUCGGAUUAGCUAGUUGGUGAGGUAAUGGCUCACCAAGGCGACGAUCCGUAGCUGGUUUGAGAGAAUGACCAGCCACACUGGGACUGAGACACGGCCCAGACUCCUACGGGAGGCAGCAGUGGGGAAUCUUGGACAAUGGGCGAAAGCCUGAUCCAGCCAUGCCGCGUGAGUGACGAAGGCCUUAGGGUUGUAAAGCUCUUUUGCCGGGGACGAUAAUGACGGUACCCGGAGAAUAAGUCCCGGCUAACUUCGUGCCAGCAGCCGCAGUAA
RNAcentral lists this ribosomal RNA (449 nucleotides) under uncultured bacterium. RNAcentral's name for it is "partial 16S ribosomal RNA". It matches the Rfam family "Bacterial small subunit ribosomal RNA", at positions 29 to 523 of the family's 1533-position model. The record is from RNAcentral.